Long non-coding RNA from Sinocyclocheilus grahami, 1226 nucleotides. RefSeq lists it as uncharacterized. Lineage: Eukaryota; Metazoa; Chordata; Actinopteri; Cypriniformes; Cyprinidae. The record is from RefSeq and is a predicted model, not a curated record. The transcript is spliced from 3 exons.
UUUGGACUUGAGCGAGACAGACGUGGUCCGCCGAAGCCAGUGGUGUCGUGGGGUUCUUUGUGGCGAGAGACGAAGUCCGCUACAACUGUGCCAGUGAUUCAUGUCUCGUUGUUUCAUUGCCAUGUUGCUGUCACUCAGCUCAGCUCUACUGCAGAUGAAUUGGCUUAUAUAUGACCCCAUCCCGUGGCCUUUUAAAGGAGCACCCUCUCUGCGCUGAUCGUGACUGCAAGCAUUUGGGUUCCAUUAUGAUCCUCUUUUUCCAUCGGUUAUAUUCAGACAUACACUAUUAUCAUGUAAAUUUGAGCUCUUCUUGAUCCGCUACCUUUGCCAAGUCAACACGGCGAGCUACACAUGAGAGCAUUACUCUUGCCCAUGCAGUCACAUUCAUUUCUCUCCGUUUCCUCACCGGGAAUCCUCACAGCUGUUAGCUGGGCUACAGCCAAACACUGCUGCAGUUAAGAGUUGCAUUGAGUGUUGUGCUUGCAUUUAGAAGUCACUGCUGUUCUUAAGCAUGGCAAUCUUUGUCAUAGUAAGACCUUUAGUGAUGACUGUGUCAAAUGAGCCACUGCAAACACCCCAUGGCCUGACUUUUGCUGAUGCAGAAAGAAAGUUUACAUCAUGUUAAACAACUUUAAUCCUUUCCAUUCAACGAGGAUCAUAGGAGGUCCAAUGACAUAGACAAGCAUAAGCAGCUCUGAGUAAUAUAAGUCAUUUCUUAAAUAUGAAUGGGGAUUGAACAUCAUAAAUUACCAAAGCUUUGUAGCUUACUCUUAAAAUGUGAAGACGAAGAUCCACAGUGUCAGUUUCUUUCUUUAAAUUCUUCACAAAACUGUUGUGCACUUAGAUUUGGAAAAUGAAACAUUACAACUAACCUACUGACUUCAUAUUAGGCAUUUGCUGCAGUUUUCAUUUGAUUUAGCCACUCUUUAAUGGAUUUCAUAGAUUUUAAUGUAGUUGCCAGAUAAUUUACACUUUAGCUGAGGCCACAAAUGCCUCUGAUAUCAUUAUCACACUGAUCAGAGCUGUCUGUUCUCCAGCACGUGGAUGAAGCCUGUUGGAAUCUGUGCCUGUUGGGAGCUGUAAUGCUGAGAAAUGUGCUUAAUUUAUUUGCACAGGUUGUUUGAGUAUACAUGUUUUGCAUGCUUGCUCUCUCUUUUUUACAAAAUAUGUUGUUGGGCAGCGUUUAUCUUUUAAUACAUAGUUUGUGUCUCACUCUCCUAAACAAA